This 75-nucleotide transfer RNA is filed under the name Escherichia coli. RNAcentral describes it as "tRNA-Thr". It matches the Rfam family "tRNA". Rfam says of the family: Transfer RNA (tRNA) molecules are approximately 80 nucleotides in length. Their secondary structure includes four short double-helical elements and three loops (D, anti-codon, and T loops). Lineage: Bacteria; Pseudomonadati; Pseudomonadota; Gammaproteobacteria; Enterobacterales; Enterobacteriaceae. The record is from RNAcentral. RNAcentral also lists the same sequence under 13 other names.
GCCGCUUUAGCUCAGUGGUAGAGCACCCGCCUUGUAAGCGGACGGUCGUCAGUUCAAAUCUGACAAGCGGCUCCA